Molecule: non-coding RNA, 223 nt
Organism: Musa acuminata subsp. malaccensis (wild Malaysian banana)
Lineage: Eukaryota; Viridiplantae; Streptophyta; Magnoliopsida; Zingiberales; Musaceae
Source: RefSeq, a predicted model, not a curated record
CCAGGGCAGCCUUCAGCUUAAUCAAAGCUUCGAGAUCUGCAUCGCCAUCUGAAGUAGCCAAGAAGAAGAGGAAGGCAACGGAGAAGAGUACGAGUAGGCUCAGGUUGAUGGGAUCCAUAGGGGAUAAGAGGAUUGCAUGGAGUUUGUAAACCGAGGUGGAUUUGCUUUCCCUUCCCUCUUCGGUAUGGGAGAAACCUGAGGGGGGUGGGGGGCCGAGAGAGAU